GACGAAAGCUGGCGGCGUGCUUAACACAUGCAAGUCGAACGAAGUGGCGAACGGGUGUGUAAUGCGUGGGUACCCUGUCCUCCUUUUUCGGAUAAGCCUUGGAAACGGGGUCUAAUACCGCGUAUCGUGGGAUGGGCUCGCGGCGUAUCCGCUUGUUGGUGGGGUGAUGGCCUACUAAGGCGGUGACGGGUUGCCGGCCUGAGAGGGUGCAGGGCCGCAUUGGGGCGGUGAUACGGCUCGGACUCCUGCGGGAGGCAGCGGUGGGGGAUAUUGCACAAUGGGCGAAAGCCGGAUGCAGCGACGCCGCGUGGGGGAUGACGGCGUGGGGAUUGUAAACCUGUUUCGCUAUCGAACGGGUAGGUGGAGAAGUAGCGCCGGCUAACUUCGUGCCAGCAGCCGCGGUAAUAC
RNAcentral lists this ribosomal RNA (408 nucleotides) under uncultured bacterium. RNAcentral's name for it is "partial 16S ribosomal RNA". It matches the Rfam family "Bacterial small subunit ribosomal RNA", at positions 28 to 526 of the family's 1533-position model. The record is from RNAcentral.